Long non-coding RNA from Triticum dicoccoides, 1626 nucleotides. RefSeq lists it as uncharacterized. Lineage: Eukaryota; Viridiplantae; Streptophyta; Magnoliopsida; Poales; Poaceae. The transcript has 7 exons. The record is from RefSeq and is a predicted model, not a curated record.
AUGCGCCGCCGCCCCAGCCGUCCCGGCAUCAAGCCAAGGCCCAGCCCAAGCCACAUCUUCUGCCGCUCCAUCAUUGCCCACCUUGAGAUCAGCCCCGACGCCACCACCAUCUUCAGAUGCGUACGCACACUACUUCCUUCUUCAAAUUGCUUCACCACAUCAUGCUGAAUUUGCAAACGGCCGCUCCUUACAUGUGUGAUCGAGAAGCAAGGUCAAGUAUGAGCAGGCUGUCAGCGUGUAGUGGUCGGAGAUGCCGUCGCAACUUACAUGUCGCAGUCGUCGGCUCCAUGCUAAGAUUACGAGGCUCUAUGGUUGUAUCGUGGUGUUCCAGUAGUAAACUUUCAGGCUGGUUAGAUAGGGGAUGAAGAUGAUGUAUACUACCUAACGGCCAUUGAGUAAUAAAAGGAGAUGGAUUGAACUACAUGAUUUAUGCCAUGGGAAUGAUGAAAAAUCUUUGAGUGAGGAUGUUGAAUAAUUCAGUCCUGAUCAAUGGCUUCUCAUAAAAGUCUUCCUGCCAGCAAGAGAGCCCUUGCAGAUUUACAGCUUUUAGUGUAAUUAUUACAGAGAAGACAUGCUUAGAGGGCCUAUAAUUUUACUAAGUGAACAUGUACUGAUCUCUACAUGCUUUUUAUUAGAGUAUCGCUUUCAUGUUUUACUAAGAUCUGUGCGGAAACAACAUGAGCCUUUGCUGCUUGGUCUGGGAUGGUGAAGUGGUGGUUGCAGUGGAAAUCGUUAAAGGGGGCACCGGUGUCCUCAGUUAUACGGUUACAGAAUAUAUGGAGUCAUGCCCAACGUUGCAAGGGAGCCUGUAGUGGGAGGCGACAAAGUAUUGGCUGUUACCAUAGUAUCCAUAAUGAGUUGUGUCAACACCAACCUCAGAGCUGGAAUAAGGAGUGCGCAUUCGCAUUGAUGAAACAACUUUCCCAUAGCCCGCUGCUACUGCCCACUACCACAAUCUUGCAUAGAUACUUCAGUCUGUUGGAUAAUUAUUGGAGAUGAUGCACUCUGAUGGACAGAUAUAGAAACCCAUUGUUAUUUUCAGUGAGGGCUGAAGUGAAUGAAUCUGGAAGUGCUUUAGUGAUUAAUGCUCUGUCCCAAGUUAAGCAUAUUCUACUUCCGGUCACUGGCCGCAAGCCUUACCUUUCAGUUCUAAUUCCUUGAGAUCACCACAGUUGUGAAUAUAGCCAUUGUUUCAACAGAACAAACCUAAGCUUAGCAUGAAAGAGAGUAUGAAAGUUCUGAUCUCUUCAAAAUAUGUGAGGGGCCUUGCUACCUUAGUUGUUGCAUAUGGCAUUAUAAUCAAUUUUGUGUAAGUCACAUGGAAAUCGAAGCUCAAGGCACAGUUCCCCAGUCCAAACGAGCACUCAUCUUUCAUGGGUGAUUUCUCUACCGCAACUGGACUUGCAACUUUCAUGAUGAUGCUGUUAGGCUGGAUUACAUUCCAAAGAUUUGGUUGGGGGGUGGCUUCCAUUAUCACCCCCAUAGUUUUGUGGUGACUGGCGUUGGUUUCUUCUCUGACUUUCAACAAGUGCAGUUCAUUGCCGCAGAGCAGUCUUAGAAGAUCCGUGCACAUGUAGCCUUAUUUCUUAUUCCAAAUUUCAUCAUACAAAAAAAAAACUCAGUGUA